RNAcentral lists this ribosomal RNA (490 nucleotides) under uncultured bacterium. Its description in RNAcentral is "partial 16S ribosomal RNA". It matches the Rfam family "Bacterial small subunit ribosomal RNA", at positions 28 to 507 of the family's 1533-position model. The record is from RNAcentral.
GAUGAACGCUCGCGAUAGGCUUAACACAUGCAAGUCGAGGGGCAGCAUGGUCUUAGCUUGCUAAGACUGAUGGCGACCGGCGCACGGGUGCGUAACGCGUAUGCAACUUGCCUCACAGAGGGGGAUAACCCGUCGAAAGACGGACUAAUACCGCGUACACUCUAUGUUGGGCAUCCAAUGUAGAGGAAAUGAAAUUCGCUGUGAGAUAGGCAUGCGUCCCAUUAGCUAGUUGGUGAGGUAACGGCUCACCAAGGCGACGAUGGGUAGGGGAACUGAGAGGUUGAACCCCCACACUGGUACUGAGACACGGACCAGACUCCUACGGGAGGCAGCAGUGAGGAAUAUUGGUCAAUGGGCGAGAGCCUGAACCAGCCAAGUCGCGUGAAGGAUGACUGUCUUAUGGAUUGUAAACUUCUUUUAUACGGGAAUAACAAGAGCCACGUGUGGCUCCCUGCAUGUACCGUAUGAAUAAGCAUCGGCUAACUCCGUG